AAUAUUGGACAAUGGGGGCAACCCUGAUCCAGCGACGCCGCGUGUGUGAAGAAGGCCUGCGGGUUGUAAAGCACUUUUAGUGGGGAUGAAAAGUACAUCGCUAAUACCGGUGUAUCUUGACCUAACCCAAAGAAAAAGCACCGGCUAACUCUGUGCCAGCAGCCGCGGUAAUACAGAGGGUGCGAGCGUUAAUCGGAAUUACUGGGCGUAAAGCGUGCGUAGACGGUUAUUUAAGUCGGGUGUGAAAGCCCCGGGCUCAACCUGGGAAUUGCAUUCGAGACUGAAUAGCUAGGGUACGGUAGAGGGAAGCGGAAUUUCCGGUGUAGCGGUGAAAUGCGUAGAUAUCGGAAGGAACAUCAGUGGCGAAAGCGGCUUCCUGGACCAGUACCGACGUUCAGGCACGAAAGCGUGGGGAGCAAACAGGAUUAGAUACCCUGGUAGUCCACGCCAUAAACGAUGAGGACUAGACGUUGGAGGGGUAAGCCUUUCAGUGUCGUAGCUAACGCGC
This 508-nucleotide ribosomal RNA is filed under the name uncultured bacterium. RNAcentral describes it as "bacterial SSU rRNA". It matches the Rfam family "Bacterial small subunit ribosomal RNA", at positions 360 to 860 of the family's 1533-position model. The record is from RNAcentral.